RNAcentral lists this ribosomal RNA (435 nucleotides) under uncultured bacterium. RNAcentral describes it as "partial 16S ribosomal RNA". It matches the Rfam family "Bacterial small subunit ribosomal RNA", at positions 29 to 507 of the family's 1533-position model. The record is from RNAcentral.
AACGAACGCUGGCGGCAUGCCUAACACAUGCAAGUCGAACGACAGCCUUCGGGGGAUAUUGGCUCACGGGUGCGUAACGCGUGGGAAUCUGCCCUUACGUCCGGAUUAACAGCUGGAAACGGCUUCUCAUACCGGAUGAUAUCGCGAGAUCAAAGAUUUCUCACCUGAGGAUGAGCCCGAGUUGGAUUAGUUAGUUGGUGGGGUAAAGCCCUACCAAGCGAACGAUCCAUAGCUGGUCUGAGAGGAGGAUCAGCCACACUGGAACUGAGACACGGCCAAGACUCCUACGCGAGGGAGGAGAGGGGAAUAUUGGAAAAUGGGCGCAAGCAUGAUCCCGCACUGCCGCGUGAGUGAUGAAGGCCGGAGAGUUGUAAAGCUCGUUUACCCGGGAAGAUAAUGACGGUACCGGGAGAAUAAGCCCCGGCUAACUCCGUG